CGUGACUCACUGCUACUCUCCCACUGGUCCCUUUACUGAGGCGUGUGUGUGCGUGUGUGUCAUAUGACAGACUUCUGGCUCAGCUGUCACGUGACUGCCACGUCGCUUGCGACUUUGGAGACUACUAGCCUCUAGGGGGCGAAUGUCUUUACCGCCUCUUUUCCCACUUUGGUUUCCCCGUUAGUAGCGCAUGCGCAGCAUACGACUGCCACCAGCUUUGUCUCUUGAACACUUCGUUCACCAUUUCUUCCUCCGGAGUCGGAAAGGCGCUCUUCUUUGGGUUCUUGAGAAGGUGGUCCGGAAGCUGGCGACCACGGAACAAGACAAAUUCAUAGGAAAAAUGGAAAAGCAAAAGUUCUGAUGUUUUGCUUUUGAUUUCACCAACUCCAGGUGUUUUCUUUUUAGAAAGGUUCUCUGGCUGAGGCCCUGCAAAUUAGACUGAUGAAAGACGAACGAGAAAAACAAGUUUGUUAAUAUGCGAAUCGUGUAUAUAUGUGGGAGUACUCAGAGAUAAGUAACUCAAAGGGAUGAUUAGAACUUGGGCUUAUAUAGCAUUAAAAAAGUUUUUUUUAGUAAUCUCUACACCCAACUUGGGGCUUAAACUCAUGACCCUGAGAUCAAGAGUCACACACUCUUACCAUCGAGUCAGCCAGGUGCUCCAUGGCUUAUAUAGCAUCUUAACAAAAGAACAAUAAAUGUUUAGAGAAGUGAUAAAACAAAGGAAUUGAGUUUCUAGGGCAGCAAACUGCGGGAAGGCAAAUAUAUGGGGAACUAAUGGAACAUAAAAUUAGUAAAAUUUGUCAUGGAGAUUCCACUGGUGUAGUCUCCGAGCUGGUAAGGGUAUAGAAUUAUCUCUAGUCAUUAACUUCUGUUCUUUCUGGUUGAGAGAAGAUGGGGAAUACCUUUAUGAGUUUACGUUUUGCUUUUAGGCAAAUAGGGGGAGGAAAGAAAGCUUUUUUUUAUACUUGAUUCUUCUCAGUUGCCUUCAGCUCAAAAUAAUCCUGAUGCCAAAAUGAUAUGUUUUGAAGUGGUGUGUUCUGCUACCCUUCAGGUCCCAGGGAGAUUAACACUUCAAGACAUCUCUUAUCUUGGACGUAUUCUGAUGUCCUCAAAAGAAAAUGUGACUGCAUCCAAAUGCUGUGAUGGCUCCCCAGUUGUGCAUUGUGACAUUGUGCCAACAUCAGAGAUGGAUACUACUGCAGAGUGGAGAGGUUCUGAGAAGCAGAAGCAUGUUUGACAUUAGCUGCAAUGGAACACCACCUCAAAGCCUGUCCUCUUUGAACUCUCCUGCUUGGGCCUCAGCUGCUGCAGCAAGGAAGCCUAGAUAAGGCCAUAUGGAGGAGAACUGAAACCUUUGGGCAGCAGCCCCAGCUGAACUUCCAGUUAGCAUCUGCCACCAGCUGUCAGCUUUGGGAGUGAGGUCGUUUGGACCUUUCUUCUGCACAUCACAGAAUGGGAGUCCUUUUCCAGAUGUACUCCAUGUGUGAGGUUUGGAAAAAACACGUAUUAGUUGAUAAUAUUGCAGUGUGAUGGAAAAAGAAUGGCAAAUAAGAUCUAGCAGAGAAGAAUGCCAAUAGGAUCCCUGUGAGGUGGGCAUUCCAGACAGCAAGAGGGAUGGAUGUUCCAAGAGUGGGCAAGCUUGAGGAGAGCAAAAAAGACACCUAUUAUGAUGAAGUCAUAGGUAUUGAGCUGGAAAUAAAUAAGGACAGGUGGCUAGGUCCGAAGACUAAAUAGAGAUUUCUUGUGGCAGAAAGAUGAAUACCCAAUACUUGUUAGAGGUGAUUGGUUUAGAAAGGGUUUUACCUUAUCCAGAUACUUGAAGAACCAUUUAUAUAAGAGGCAAAGAAAAGAAUGCCUAACAACACUAUUACUAAAUUAUACUUGAAUUUAAAAACAAAGCCUCUUUCAUUCUUAAAAGUACCCAUUUCAAAAGUUUACAUUGCCCACCAAACAGUCUUUAUUUUUUUAUUAAAGUUUAUUUUAUUUAUUUAUUUUGAGAGAGAGAGCAGGGGAGAGGCAGAGAGAGAUGGAGAGUGGGAAUCCCAAGCAGGCUCCACACUGUCAGUGCAGAACCUGAUGCAGGGCUCAAACUUACAAACUGAGAUCAUGACCUGAACCAAAAUCAAAAGCCAGACACUUAACUGACUGAGGUACCCCUCAGUAGCAGCAGUUUUUAAAGGAUAAUUUGGACCAUGCUCAAAUAGAGCUCUGCAAAUUUCUUAUUGCACUUUUCUUUACUUGAGAGAGAAACUGUUUGCACGAACAUGAAACAAACCUAAAACCUGGACCUUCACAGAGCUUUCACUCACCCAAAUAAAUGCAUUUAUUUGUUAUUCUUAGCACUUAACCUAAUAAUACCCCCUGGGUUAUAUACAACAUUCUUCUGAAUAUCUACAAUGUAGCAGUUAUUUCUGAACAUUUACUCCUGGAAAUUCACAGGAUGAACAAGUUUGCAUGCCGUAGGAUUUCUGAAAACCAUCUUGGCAAAAAUAAAAUAAAAAUAAGUGAGGUAGGGCACCCGGGUUGUUCAGUCAGUUAAGCAUCGGACUCUUGGUUUUGGCUCAGGUUAUAUUCUCAUGGUUUGUGAGUUCAAGCCCCACGUUAGGCUCUGCACUGAUAGUCCGGAGCCUGCUUGGGAUCCUCUCUCUCCCUUUCUCUCUACCCCUUCCCUGCUUGUUCUCUCCCUCUCUCUUUCUCAAAAAAAAAAAACUUAAAAAGUGAGGUAAUCAUUUCACAGUAUAUACAUAUGUCAAAUCAUUAUGUUGUACAUCUUAAAGGAAUACAGUGUUCUAUGUUGAUUAUAUCUCAGUAAAACUGGGGGAAAAUGAAUGAGGGCUUUGGAAUAAAAUUGGAACGUAAUUUUACUAGCUAAGUAUUUAGUCUGUCUUGGCUUAACUACGGUGACAGUAUUCUAAUAUUAACCUCAAUGAAUCCUAUUCCAAGAAUAUGGUAGUUAAUGGUAAAUAGGGCUGGAAGGAAGUUCCUCAUAGGUGGAGAUUUUUACGAAACCAAUUAGAGUCUCAAAGUUCUAUUUUUCUAGAAACAUCAAAAACUAUCAGGAUGUGUUGAAUUUUGAUAGUGACUCUUGAAGAUGUUUAGAAAUGAAAUGCACUGGUUCUUUAGUUGUAUGUAUAUUAUGGUGGAUUUAAUGAAAAGAAUCUUCUCAGGUCAAAAGCAUAUUUUCCUCAAAUCUAUCUUAGUUCCUCAACUACCUUGACAUCCCAAUUAAGAGCAGGGAGAAAAUCAAGGAGAAGACACAGGGAAAAUAAAAACUAAUACAAAAGGAAUACAGUGAUGUUUUACAUUUGUAUCCCAGCAUUCUUCAUUUGCCCUCAUUUUUUGCUGACAAUAAUAAAAUCUGAAGCAUGCAGUCUCACAUAGUGAGUAGCUCAGUCACUGUAACCUAUUAUGGUAAUACCUGCUCAUAAUUCAUCAGGGGACCACAAGAAAUACAGAACUACAUGCUCACAAAAACAGCAGCUAGCCUUUAAAAAAGAAGCAAAAAAAAAACCCAAAAACAAAAACAAAAAAAGGAAAGGAAACAAAAUGUAUGGGGUCAUUUCUUCUCCAGAGAAUAAAAAAAGACUAAAAUAUAUCAACUGAUGGCAGAAUAUGAGAAUUCAUUACUCUUCUGUAAAAUUUACAAAAAUAUUUGCAUGCUAAAACCUAUCAGAGUUUAUUAACAAGCUGUCAUUUAUUGAGCACCUACUAGAUACAGAGCACUUUUACAUGUCAGUUGGGGUUACCAUUCACAGUUCUAAGCCAGAGUAGCAGGGACUGUGGUCAUAGGCAUACUUGUAUGUAUGUAACAUAACUGUUACAACAACUCCUUUGGAAAUAAUACAAAACCCAAUGCAAACUGGCUUAAGAAAAAGAAUUUAUUGGGUUACACAAUGCAAAAUUAUUUUCAAUAAAAAAUAGUUUUGAUUUUUUUUCCUUUUUUCUUAAUGUUUGUUUGUUAAUUUGUUUAGAGUGUGCACAAGGAGCAAAGGGGCAGAGAGAAGGAGAGACAAUCCUGCACAAGUGGGGAAGGGGCAGAGAGGAGACAGAAUCCCAAGCAGGCUCUGUGCCAUAAGUGCAGAGCCCAAUGUGGAGCUCGAAGUCAUGAACUAGGAGAUCAUGACCUGCGCUAAGAUCAAGAGCCAGAUGCUUAACUGAUUGCACCACCCAGGUGCCCCAAAAAUAGUUUUUGAAAAUAAAUUAUUAUUAUUGUUUCAAUGUC
Panthera uncia (snow leopard) is the source of this 4222-nucleotide long non-coding RNA. RefSeq lists it as uncharacterized. NCBI's taxonomy places the organism in Eukaryota, Metazoa, Chordata, Mammalia, Carnivora, Felidae. The transcript is spliced from 4 exons. The record is from RefSeq and is a predicted model, not a curated record.